CUGGCACUGGCUGACAGGAUGCAGAAAGAUGAUUUUCCUAACACAGAUUUUCCUCUGCUUUUGAUGAUAUUAAGAGGCAAGUUGCCACACAGAGAGAAGCAUGCCCAUCUCAUAUACUUCAAGUACAUUGCUGCCAUUGCUGUCUCUGGGAGAACAUAUGGACGUGGCACCACGUUCACCUUUUUCAUCUCUCAGCAAUUAGAAUUAAAAUGCUGUGUCCAAAGAAGAAGCAAAAAUACUUCAUCUCACUGCAAUACAAUCCCUGAAGAACCACACCAGGACUGCAACAUACUAAACAUUGAAGAUUAUGAAGGACCAUAUGGAACUUACUGCAUCUGAGGAACAUUAACUCUGGAUCAUGUGGAAAAGUCUAAAAUAAGGACAUGACUAAGCUGGCCUCUUUAAUGACUAGAAAAAGAAACAAAAUGGAAAACAUCCACCUUCUAGGCUUCACCCUGUGCAGUGACCUGGAAAAGAAAACCUAUUGGCACCAGCAAUCAAGCUUUCCUGUAUUAUCUUCCCAGGAGGUUGAUUGCACUGUCCUAAAUGUGGGUGACUGCUUGAGGUCCAAAAUUCUUUACACUGGUGCUAUUUCUCUGAAAUCCAAACAUAAUUAGAAAAGCAGAAAUAUACAGUGGUAGCCAGUAUACAGUAUGGCAUACCAUAACAACAGUAAAGAAUUUCCAAUCAAGCUGGGUAAGAAAACAAAGCUACCAGCCUGCCAGCUGUGAAUUUCAUGAUUUUCAAGGUACCUUUUACAAAAAAAAAAAAAAAAAAAGUAGCAAAAUGUUUCAGAAAUCAGAAAAUCACUGCAGUAUUACCUUUGUUUCUCCCAAAUGGGCAAUCUUUGCAGUUAUUUCGAAUGCAAAAACCACACAUAUUCUUGAAGUACCACUCACCAGAACUCAUUCUUUUCUGUUCUAUUUUUAAGAAGUUCUGGUUUUGUCUUGCAUGUAUGACUUGAUCAAAGGAUGCUUUAAAAUUAAACUUCUGAAACCAACAACAG
Molecule: long non-coding RNA, 1006 nt
Filed under: Anas platyrhynchos platyrhynchos (common mallard)
Lineage: Eukaryota; Metazoa; Chordata; Aves; Anseriformes; Anatidae
Description: lncRNA (ENSAPLG00000024475.1)
Source: RNAcentral